GACAGAGGGUGCAAACGUUGCUCGGAAUCACUGGGCGUAAAGGGCGUGUAGGCGGUUUGUCGCGUCUGCCGUGAAAGUCCGGGGCUCAACUCCGGAUCUGCGGUGGGUACGGGCAGACUAGAGUGAUGUAGGGGAGACUGGAAUUCCUGGUGUAGCGGUGAAAUGCGCAGAUAUCAGGAGGAACACCGAUGGCGAAGGCAGGUCUCUGGGCAUUAACUGACGCUGAGGAGCGAAAGCAUGGGGAGCGAACAGG
Molecule: ribosomal RNA, 253 nt
Filed under: uncultured bacterium
Lineage: Bacteria
Description: partial 16S ribosomal RNA
Rfam family: Bacterial small subunit ribosomal RNA
Source: RNAcentral